UACGGAGGGGCCAGCGUUGCUCGGAAUCACUGGGCGUAAAGGGCUCGUAGGCGGUUUGAUAAGUCCUGUGUGAAAUCCCUUGCUUACCAAGGAACUGCGCCGGAUACUGUCGAACUAGAGGCCGGGAGAGGGAAGCGGAAUUCCGAGUGUAGCGGUGAAAUGCGUAGAUAUUCGGAGGAACACCGGUGGCGAAGGCGGCUCCUGGACCGGUUC
This 213-nucleotide ribosomal RNA is filed under the name uncultured bacterium. RNAcentral describes it as "partial 16S ribosomal RNA". It matches the Rfam family "Bacterial small subunit ribosomal RNA", at positions 524 to 740 of the family's 1533-position model. The record is from RNAcentral.